AUGUGUUAUUUUUAUUGCGGUUUGCCUCCUCCGUCUCAAACUUGUCUCUAUACUUUGCAGAAUUGCGUCAGCGGGAAGAAGACCGAGAAAGACAGAAAAGACUGGGAAAUGAAAUCGAGGCAGGUCGAUGAACUGAGAUUGCGCGAGGAAGAAUUGUCGAUGAGAAUGCUGACACCGGAGGAUGAAAUGCGGAUGAGAUCAUGGAAGCCCCAGGCUAUCCUCAGGAUCAGAAGCCAUUCGUUGAAGCUUUCGAUAGUCCGAGAGGAUUCCCACCAGGCAACCGAUUUGACGCAGCCGACGGUCCUGUUCCGCGAGGAGGCGGACCCAGAGGCGAAGGAGGCAGGGGUGGUGGCGGUCGUUGGGCCCCAGCAGAUCGUCGGGGGCCCGGACCCGGUGGACCUGGUCCGGACGAUUUCCAAAACAAGCGACGCCGAUACUAGAGCAUGCGAGAUCUUCAAAUUCCCCCCCCAUAUAUUCUCCAUGUACAGUAUUAUGCUAUAGGAUCUUUCAUCUAAUUUGUACGCCUAGCAUGUCUCAGUCAAAUUCACCAAAUUUUGCUUGAGUUGGGUAUUGAUGUAUAGUUGGUUCUAGUUAACAGAUAGUACUCAUUCUUAAGAUUUCAAUACCCAGCGUUCCUUCCGCUGCUAAUUAAUCGACAUCGCCGAAAGGAAACAAAUCAGGGUGUCUGCAGAAGCUAAGAAAAAUAGGGGGAUAAAUUUUAUUCUGGACCUGCAUAAACUUGGCAAAAAAAUCUGGAAUUUUUCCUUGUUGUUCAAGUUUUCUUUGUUUUCCGAGUUUUGAUGACUGCAAGAACAAAAUGUUCAAAAAUUGAAUCUUCAUGCAGAAAAAAGAAAACUCUUCUGUCCAUUUAAAAUUAAUGUCGAGAACCUCUUCCUUUUUGUUUUGAGUGUUGUGGCGCGGAAAAGUUAAACCAAUUUUGUUACAGAAUCUGCAGACACCUUUUGAACAUUAAUAAGUCUUAGCAGCCGUAUUACCUCAUACUGGGUUAUUAAUUUACCCUGUCAAGUUUAUGAAUCAUUUUUUACAAUCUUAAACUAAACAAAUUACAUUUAAAUUUAUUGAUACAUCUCCUAUUCUCAGGGGCCUGAAUUUGCUUCAUAUCGUGUUUAAGUUGGUUAAUUAGGAAGUGGUUUUAAAAUUUGAUAAUCAAAAACGAACCAGAACCCGGGACAUUUUUACUAUUUUUAUACUCAGAAAUUUUUAAGUAUUCCAUAAUUUUUUCUCCCUAUCUCUGUCUCCUAAUCAUUCAAAUUGAACGUGUUCUCAAAUUAUUUCUUAUUUCCCUUUUAAGUGCUAUAAGAGUUUUUAUGUACAGUUCUUUUGGUUGCCAGAUUAUAAACUUUGACUCAUUUUUCGCAGAGAAAAAAGUAUUGAAUUCUUUUUUUUUCCCUUUUUUUUACUUAUAUCGUCUGAGAUACUUUGAGCAGGACUCAUUUCGUGUCGGGCAAUUCGAAGGGAGAAUAAAAUUUUCAGGAAUGGACUCCGGUUGUUCCUUUAAAUCCCAGCAACAUACUUAAUCAGUGUUAAUGCCAUAAUCGAGCUGAAAGAUGAUAAUUUGGUCAGCAGCUCCUCAUUGUUUCCAUUUAAUUUAUUUUUUCUUCUUCGUGCUCUGUAACCAAUUACAGAUUUUUUUUUACUAGACAUAACUUAUUUCAUUUUCUCACAUUCAUACCUUCAUUUUUAUAUUAUCCUUCCAUUAAUCUUCGCUGUGAAUGUGUUUAUAUUUAUUGGAAUUUAUCACUGGAAGUUAAGUCACUCGAGACAGUAUCUUUUGUACAACGUCUAGUUCAGUAAGGUCAGGUUUGAUUCUAUUCAAUUUGGAAGUCUGCGAUAAAAAGAUAAAAAUUUUGAGUAGAACAGAAUUUUCUUUUUUGUUUUCCUCCCGUCACAACUAGUUCAGAAACAGUAUCCUUAAAUAGCGAACAUUUCCUCGAUUUUUUUAUUUUUAUUGACGAAAAAAGUUGAGCAACUCAUUGUAGCUCUCUUUGAAAUUACUGACAAGGGAGUGUGAACGAUUAUUAUUGAGAAUAGUUAAAAUGUAGAGUUCGAUUUUUCCGUUUGUGACAGACUAAUUUCAGAAAGUCAGGAGAUCCUCCUCUAAAAUUUGUUUCGGAUGAUAUGCCGAAGGUCUGAUCGUGUGAUUUAGCCCUAGACUCCCACCAGUAAAUAGACAAAGGCAUUACUUAAAUGGUCUUGACGAUUUUUAGUGUAAUUUUCUUUUUGACGUUGUAUACAUUUCUGAAAUAAUUCAUGCAAUCAAUGUAUAUUAUCAAAUACCUAUCUAAGCAUAAUCAGACCUCAAAGCAAGUUAGAGUAAUGCACCUUCAUGCUAUGACACAGAACAAACUCACAACUAACUGCCAAGUAUGUUAAACUGGGAUUCCACAGUAAUUUUUGGGGAGUGUUCGCUGCUUAACAUCAGAAACUCUGACAAUUGCCAGAGUUUACGCCCGAGUGAAAUGUGCAUUUUUGGUUGUCAUCAUUCUUACUAAAUUAGGAAGUAACGUUAAUUUUUAUUGAUAAUAAAAUCUGCGAUCUACUUUUAUUAGAAGGUAUCAAAGUGAGAAUUGCAAAAUGGUAACAUAUCAUAGCCUCAAGAUACCUCAUUUUAGCAGAUUUACUUGCGCAUGAUAAUUGGUCUGCAUUUUGCAAUUUGGAACUAUAAAUUCUGGCCCCGGUUUAAAAACAACGUAUGUGCCGUUAGUUUCCCUAUGCACAUAAGUGUUUUUUCAGAUGAGCCGGAAUUUAUAAGUCCAAAUUGCAAAAUGCAGUCCAAUUGGAAAAAAUCAAUCAUAUCUUGAAGGCAUAUAGAAGGAAGAAAAAGCCCACUGUCUUGUAGAUUUGCAUUUCCUUUCUUACUCAAAGUACCGAACUGUCAGUUAUCCUGGAAAGCUUGGAGGCGUAUUUGUCUCAUCAAAUGAAUAACUCCAGUUAAAAAUUCAGAGUCUAUUACUAUCUAAGACAAGUUAGCAGAAUUUAUCAUUUCCCAAGGUAGAAAAUCAAACUGAUGUCUUAUUCUGAUACAAGGAAAGUGGGAGGAAAAAGCAUAAUAUCUUUUCAGCAGCUGUAAGCAAUCAAGGAACCAGUCCUAAUCCUCGAUUAAGCCGGACGUUAAUACUCAAGAAACUCUUUAGAGCUAUUUAAUGCAAAAAAAAAAACAGUGAUUACUUAGAUGCUUGACAUCAGAUGUGUGGUUUGUGAGUCAACUUAGUUCCACAGAAGAUAUCAGCGUUACUUAAUGCGUCCUCCGGCAUUCAAUAGACAAUUUUUUCUAUUAAAUUAUCUUAAAAUCGGACUCAGCGGGUCAUUUCCAAGUGGACUAGCUUGGUUUCGGCUCGAUCGGAGAACUUUCGAUU
RNAcentral lists this long non-coding RNA (3377 nucleotides) under Bemisia tabaci. RNAcentral describes it as "lncRNA ENSSWEETPG001562". Lineage: Eukaryota; Metazoa; Arthropoda; Insecta; Hemiptera; Aleyrodidae. The record is from RNAcentral.